This 468-nucleotide ribosomal RNA is filed under the name uncultured bacterium. RNAcentral describes it as "partial 16S ribosomal RNA". It matches the Rfam family "Bacterial small subunit ribosomal RNA", at positions 28 to 507 of the family's 1533-position model. The record is from RNAcentral.
GACGAACGCUGGCGGCGUGCUUAACACAUGCAAGUCGAACGGAAAGGCCCUGCUUUUGUGGGGUGCUCGAGUGGCGAACGGGUGAGUAACACGUGAGUAACCUGCCCUUGACUUUGGAAUAACUUCAGGAAACUGGGGCUAAUACCGGAUAGGAGCUCCUGCUGCAUGGUGGGGGUUGGAAAGUUUCGGCGGUUGGGGAUGGACUCGCGGCUUAUCAGCUUGUUGGUGGGGUAGUGGCUUACCAAGGCUUUGACGGGUAGCCGGCCUGAGAGGGUGACCGGCCACAUUGGGACUGAGAUACGGCCCAGACUCCUACGGGAGGCAACAGUGGGGAAUAUUGCACAAUGGGCGGAAGCCUGAUGCAGCAACGCCGCGUGCGGGAUGACGGCCUUCGGGUUGUAAACCGCUUUCGCCUGUGACGAAGCGUGAGUGACGGUAAUGGGUAAAGAAGCACCGGCUAACUACGUG